AAAGGAAUUGACGGGGACCCGCACAAGCGGUGGAUGAUGUGGUUUAAUUCGAUGCAACGCGAAAACCUUACCACCUUUGACAUGUACGGAAUCCUUUAGAGAUAGAGGAGUGCUCGAAAGAGAGCCGUAACACAGGUGCUGCAUGGCUGUCGUCAGCUCGUGUCGUGAGAUGUUCGGGUUAAGUCCCGCAACGAGCGCAACCCUUGCCAUUAGUUACUACGAAAGGGCACUCUAAUGGGACUGCCGGUGACAAACCGGAGGAAGGUGGGGAUGACGUCAAGUCCUCAUGGCCCUUAUAGGUGGGGCUACACACGUCAUACAAUGGCCGGUACAGAGGGUAGCCAACCCGCGAGGGGGAGCCAAUCCCACAAAGCCGGUCGUAGUCCGGAUCGCAGUCUGCAACUCGACUGCGUGAAGUCGGAAUCGCUAGUAAUCGCGGAUCAGCAUGUCGCGGUGAAUACGUUCCCGGGUCUU
Molecule: ribosomal RNA, 474 nt
Filed under: uncultured Comamonadaceae bacterium
Lineage: Bacteria; Pseudomonadati; Pseudomonadota; Betaproteobacteria; Burkholderiales; Comamonadaceae
Description: bacterial SSU rRNA
Rfam family: Bacterial small subunit ribosomal RNA
Source: RNAcentral